Molecule: ribosomal RNA, 433 nt
Filed under: uncultured bacterium
Lineage: Bacteria
Description: partial 16S ribosomal RNA
Rfam family: Bacterial small subunit ribosomal RNA
Source: RNAcentral
AACGAACGCUGGCGGCAUGCCUAACACAUGCAAGUCGAACGAGACCUUCGGGUCUAGUUGCGCACGGGUGCGUAACGCGUGGGAACCUGCCCUUAGGUUCGGAAUAACUCCCCGAAAGGGGUGCUAAUACCGGAUAAUGUCUUCGGACCAAAGAUUUAUCGCCUUUGGAUGGGCCCGCGUUGGAUUAGCUAGUUGGUAGGGUAAAAGCCUACCAAGGCGACGAUCCAUAGCUGGUCUGAGAGGAUGAUCAGCCACACUGGGACUGAGACACGGCCCAGACUACUACGGGAGGAAGCAGUGGGGAAUAUUGGACAAUGGGCGAAAGCCUGAUCCAGCAAUGCCGCGUGAGUGAUGAAGGCCUUAGGGUUGUAAAGCUCUUUUACCCGGGAUGAUAAUGACAGUACCGGGAGAAUAAGCGCCGGCCAACUCCGUG